This 4814-nucleotide long non-coding RNA is filed under the name Homo sapiens (human). Its description in RNAcentral is "non-protein coding lnc-MSLN-2:3". Lineage: Eukaryota; Metazoa; Chordata; Mammalia; Primates; Hominidae. The record is from RNAcentral.
ACCUCGCGGGAACCCGGGACCUACCGCUUCGUCCACCUCCCGCGCGCCCCAGGCCCCGGGUUGGGGUGCAGGGGGCGCAGGGGUUGGUCGGGCCAGCGCCGCAGCUCCGGCCCCGGAGUCUCUCCGCCUUCACAAGGAAGCGGAGGGGAUCUGGCUCCGUCCAUUUCCUCAUCCUCUGCGUACCUGCGGACCAGGAAACUCCUGGAUCGAGGCUGGCAUCUUUCCGGCCCAAGCAGGCUCAGCCCAUGGAGAUCUCACAGUGGCAACAUCCUAGGUCCCAGCCUGCGCCGCACCCUCCCCAGGGUUCUAGGCCCUGAUUCUGACCACAUGUCCCCACCUGGAUGCGGCCUGGGCACUCCUGCACCUGCCUGUGGGGUUUGGGCCACCAGCCUGUGUGGCCUUCUCCAUCACCUGCAGCUGCUCCUCUCGGCCAGACAGGACUUUCUUCUGCUGCUGCACGGAGGAGCUUUCCCCAGCACCUGGGCCAGAAUUGGAAUCUCAGCUUCCGGAACCGCCCACUCCACCAUCAGCCAAGCCGGGACCACUCCAUAGUGCCUGGCCCCUGAGCUGUGCCCAUGCUCCUGUGUUGAAGACCUGGUUCCCGUGAGGGACCUGGCCCCUCAUUUGAACUCUCGGCACCUCAUUUCUCUCCUCUGUAAAACGGGGAUAGAAGGCCACCUCCCACAGCCCUGACUGCACAGGACAUCCUGCUCUGGCCUGGCGGGUGGAGGAAACAGUGGCCGAGCGAGAGGCGCUGACCUCCCAGAGUCGGGAAGCCUGGGCCAACCAGGGAAGACUUCCUGGAAGAGGUGACCGGGGCGGAGACCCAGUGAUGCGUCUGCUCCAGGCUAGGGGCUCGGUCCUCUUUUCUGUUUUGACCUCAUGGGGGAUGGAAUUUAGAGCGAUGGGAGCAGAAGCCAGCCUCUGAGCUCAGAGCAUGGCUACUGCUCUCUGCGAGUGGGUCCUGCUGAGGGAUCCUCUGUGGAUUAUCGGAUUAACGUUCAAUGCGUCCACACCAGAGGCUGAGCUAGCAAAGCCGGACAUCUCUAUUUACUCAACUUCUUAAACGCGACGGCCAGUACCCUGACGAUUUGGCCAUGUGAAAACCAAAGAGAAGAGAACCACCAAGCUGUUCUCCACGGAGGCCACACCCUCUAACCUGCUCACCGGCAGCACACGGGGGUUCCUGUCCCGCAGAACCACCAAGCUGUUCUCCACGGAGGCCACACCCUCUAACGUGCUCACCGGCAGCACACGGGGGUUCCUGUCCCUCCACAUCCUCAUCACAGCUUGUUAAGCUACUAAUUUUUAUUUUUUGAGAUGGAGUCUCGCUCUGUCACCCAGGCUGGAGGGCAGUGGCACCAUCUUGGCUCACUGCAACCUCCGCUUCCCGGGUUCAAGCGAUUCUCCUGACUCAGCGUCCUGAGUAGCUGGGAUUAUAGGUGCACGCCACCAUACCUGGCUAAUUUUUGUAUUAUUAGUAGAGAUGGGAUUUUAUCAUGUUGGCCGGGCUGGUCUCAAACUCCUGACCUCAAGUGAUCCGCCCGCCUCAGCCUUCCGAAGUGCUGGGAUGACAGGCAUGAACUACUGUGCCUAGCCUAAUUUUUGUAUUUUUAGUAGAGACAGGGUUUUGCCAUGUUGGUCAGGCUGGUCUCAAACUCCUGACCUCAGGUGAUCUGCCCGCCUCAGCCUCCCAAAGUGCUGGGAUUACAGGCAUGAGCCACCGGGCCUAGCUGCUAUUAAUUUUUAUAUCAGUUUUAUUGUGUUAAACUUAUGUACAAUAAAUGCAUCCAUUUACAGUAUACAAUUUCAGGCUGGAUGCGCUGGCUCACAUCUAUAAUCCCAGCACUUUGCGAGGCCAAGAUGGGUGUAUCGUUUGAGCCCAGGAGUUCAAGACCAGCCUGGGCAACAUAGCGAGACCCCAUCUCUACAAAAAUUAGCCGGGUACAGUGGCACGCACCUGCAGUCCCAGCUACUUAGGUGGAGGUGGGAGGAUCACCUGAGCCCUGGAGGUUGAAGCUACAGUGAGCCGUGAUUGUGCCAUUGCACUCCAGCCUGGGCGACAGAGCAAGACGCUGCCUCCAAAGAAGAAAAUAAAGCAUAUAAUUCAAACAGUCCUGGAAGUUAUACACACCCACGAAUCCAUCACCACAGUCAAGACACAGAGCAUUUUCCUCACCUUCCAGAGACUUCCUAGAGUCUCUGCAGUCUGCUCCUCUCUCCUGCUCUUGUUGAGUAGGAAUCCUUCAUUCUGAUGAAGUUGCCCAGCACAGGCAACCACUGAUCUGCUUCUUGUCAGAAUAGAUUAGCUUGCCUUUUAAAUUUUUAUGUAAGAGGAAUCAUACCUUAUGUACUCUGAGUCUGCCUCUUUCAUUGAGCAUAAUGAUUUUGAAAUUCAUUUAUUUUUUUCGUAUAUGAGAUGGUAUUGCCCUUUUUAUCAUUGGGCAGUACACCAUAGUGUUAAUAUGCCAUACUUUGUUCAUCUAUUGAUGGAAGUGUGUGUGUAUAUAUAUAUAUAUUUUUUUUUUUUAAACCAUUUUUGGCUAUUGUGAAUGGAGCUGCUGUAGAUAUUCAUGCAUAAGUCUUUGUGUGAACACGUUUUCAUUUCUCUCGGGACAUUCCUUAGGAGUGGAAUAGCUAAGUGGCAUGGUUGGGUAUAAGUUUAACUUCUUAAUAAAGUGCCAAACAAAACUGCCUGUAUCCAUUUGCACUCCCACCAGCAGCCUCUGAGAGUUCCAGUUGCUCCACUUCCUUGCCAACACUUGUCAUUGUUGGUCCUUAAUUUAGUCAUUUUAGUGGGUGUGUAAUGCGCAGUGUUGCACUGUGGAUUUCUCACUGCGGAUGGAAUUUGCAUUUCCUUAAUGAGUAAUGUCUAGUGGGUGUGUAGUGAGUGGUAUCUCCUUGUGGAUUUCAUUUGCAUUUAGUGAGCGGUGAUGACGAUGAGCCUCUUUUCACAUUCAGAUUGAUCGUGUGUUGUGUAUUUUUUGAGACAGGGUUUUCACCCAGGGUGUGGUUAUAGCUCACUGCAGCCUCAAACUGGCCUCAAGCUAUCCUCCCACCUCCUCCUCCCAAGUAGAUGGGACUUCAGGCCUGCGUCACCAUGCCUGGCUAGUUUUUAAAUUUUUUGCAGAGAUGGGGUCCCAUUAUGUCACCCAGGUUGGCGUGCAGUGGCGUGGUCAUAGCUCGCUGCAGCCUCAAACUCCUGGGUCAAGUGAUCCUCCCACCUCAGCCUAAAGUGCUGGGACUACAGGCAUGCACCAUCACACCUGGCUUUUGUAUCUUUUUGUGUGUGUGUGCAGUGUCUGUUUAAAUCUUUUGCCCAUUUUUAAAUAACAGCUUUACUGAGAGAUAAUCCACACUAUACAGCUCACCCAUUUACCCAUUGGAAGUACCGUUCGGGCCCAGUGUGGUGGCUGCAGCCUGAAAUCCUAGCAUUGGGAGGUCAAGGUGGGCGGAUCGCCUGAGGUCAGGAGUUCAAGACCAGUCUGAUCAACAUGGUGAAACCCCGUCUCUACUAAAAAUACAAAAAUUAGCUGGGCGUGGUGGCACACGCCUGUAAUCCCAGCACUUUGGGAGGCCAAGGCGGGCUGAUCACUUGAGGUCAGGAGUUUGAGACCAGCCUGGCCAACAUGGUGAAACCCCGUCUCUACUAAAAAUACAAAAAUUAGCCGGGCGUGGUGGCGGGCGCCUGUAAUCCCAGCUACUCCGGUGGCUGAGGCAGAAGAAUCGCUUGAACCUGGGAGGCGGAGCUUGCAGUGAGCCGAGAUCGAGCCACUGCACUCCAUCCUGAGCGACAGAGGGAGACUCAUCUCAAAAAAGAAAAGGAAAGAAACUCCAUACCCCUUAGAAGUCAGUCCUCCUGACUGGUCUCCCUCCCGCGGGUCUUACGAAACCACUCAUCUACUUCCUGUCUCUCUAAAUUGACCCACUCUGGACGUUUCAUCUAAAGGGACUCGUACGACGUGUCCGUGUUUCCAGGCUCAGCCGCGUUGCAGCACAUAUGGCCUGGGUUUUACGGGAUUGUCUGUCUUAUCAUUGAACUGCAAAUGUUCCUUGUCAAUUCUGGGUAUAUGUCAUGCAAAUAUUUCUCUUAUUCUGUGGCUUGGCUCUUUAUUUUCUUCACGGCAUCAUUCAAAGAGCAGCAGUGUCAGUCAUGGUUUCUGCCUUCUUUCUUCCAUCUAACAGGUCUUUGCCUGUUCCAAGCCCACAAACACUUCCUCUUGAAUUUCCUUCUAAUGGUUUUAUAGUUUCAGCCUUUAUACUCAGGCCUAUGGUUGGCUUUGAGUAAAUUUUGCAUAUAAUAUGAGGUAGGAAUCUACGUUCUUUCAAUCACAUAGACACAUAGAUAUGGCCGGGCAUGGUGGCUCAUGCCUGUAAUCCCAGCACUUUGGGAGGCCGAGGUGGGCGGAUCACGAGGUCAGGAGAUCGAGACCAUCCCAGCUAACACGGUGAAACUCCAUCUCUACUUAAAAAAAAAAGCCAGGCAUGGUGGCGGGCGCUUGUAGUUCCAGCUACUCAGGAGGCCGAGGCAGGAGAAUGGCAUGAACCUGGGAGGCGGAGGUUGCAGUGAGCGGAGAUCGCGCCACUGCACUCCAGCCUGGGCGACAGAGCAAGACUCCGUCUCAGAAAAAAAAAAAAUCACACAGAUAUUCUUAUUUUUCUUCUUUCUUUCUUUCUUUUUUUUUUCAGUAGAGACGGGGUUUCAUCAUGUUGGCCAGGAUGGUCUUGAUCUCUUGACCUCAUGAUCCACCUCGGCCUCCCAAAGUGCUGGGAUUACAGGCGUGAGCCACCACGCCUGGGCUUUUUUUUUUUUU